CCUACGGGUGGCUGCAGUGGGGAAUAUUGGACAAUGGGCGAAAGCCUGAUCCAGCCAUGCCGCGUGUGUGAAGAAGGCCUUCGGGUUGUAAAGCACUUUCAGUGGGGAAGAAAGCCUUGGGGCUAAUACCCUCGAGGUAUGACAUCACCCACAGAAGAAGCACCGGCUAACUCCGUGCCAGCAGCCGCGGUAAUACGGAGAGUGCGAGCGUUAAUCGGAAUUACUGGGCGUAAAGCGCGCGUAGGCGGUCUGAUAAGCCGGUUGUGAAAGCCCCGGGCUCAACCUGGGAACGGCAUCCGGAACUGUCAGGCUAGAGUGCAGGAGAGGAAGGUAGAAUUCCCGGUGUAGCGGUGAAAUGCGUAGAGAUCGGGAGGAAUACCAGUGGCGAAGGCGGCCUUCUGGACUGACACUGACGCUGAGGUGCGAAAGCGUGGGUAGCAAACAGGAUUAGAUACCCGGGUAGUC
This 465-nucleotide ribosomal RNA is filed under the name Vreelandella stevensii. RNAcentral describes it as "partial 16S ribosomal RNA". It matches the Rfam family "Bacterial small subunit ribosomal RNA", at positions 338 to 795 of the family's 1533-position model. The record is from RNAcentral. Lineage: Bacteria; Pseudomonadati; Pseudomonadota; Gammaproteobacteria; Oceanospirillales; Halomonadaceae.